This 775-nucleotide ribosomal RNA is filed under the name uncultured Neocallimastigales. RNAcentral describes it as "partial large subunit ribosomal RNA". It matches the Rfam family "Eukaryotic large subunit ribosomal RNA", at positions 24 to 635 of the family's 3401-position model. Lineage: Eukaryota; Fungi; Neocallimastigomycota; Neocallimastigomycetes; Neocallimastigales. The record is from RNAcentral.
UAUGUGAUCGUCUCUCGCAUAUCAAUAAGCGGAGGAAAAGAAACUAACAAGGAUUCCCCUAGUAACGGCGAGUGAAGCGGGAAGAGCUCAAAUUUGAAAUCUUAAAGGGUUUCCCUUUACGAAUUGUAGUUUAAAGAAGUGUUUUCUGUUGAGGUUUUGGUAAAAGUUCUUUGGAAUAGGACAUCAUAGAGGGUGAGAAUCCCGUAUUUGACCUUUACUUUCAACUUUGUGAUACACUUUCAAAGAGUCGGAUUGUUUGGGAAUGCAGUCCAAAAUGGGUGGUAAAUUUCAUCUAAAGCUAAAUAUUGGCGAGAGACCGAUAGCGGACAAGUACCGUGAGGGAAAGAUGAAAAGAACUUUGAAAAGAGAGUUAAACAGUACGUGAAAUUGUCAAAAGGGAAGCGUUUGACACCAGUGUUGUUUUUCUGAAAAUCAAUUAAAGAACUGUUUAUGCUAAGUUGUUUAGACUUUAUCAGCUAAUCUGUUUAGUUUUGAGCUUUUCUUUAAUGCACUUUUCAGUUAACAAGUCAACAUCAAUUUCUUUUGCUGUAAAAAAGCUUGAGGAAGGUGGCUUGAGAUUCGUCUUAAGUGUUUAUAGCCUCUUGCCUAUGCAGUCGGAGAGAUUGAGGUCUGCAGCGUAGAUCCUUCGGGGCUAAAUGCAUUUGUGCUAAGUUAUAGCAUUUUAUAGACAACUUGUUGACUAUGAUUUGUCUUGUAGCUUACUCGCUUAUGUUAUUUUACCUACGCUUAGGAUGUUGAUCUACAGAGCGAGAGU